UGGGCUUGACCUUUGCUGGUGUGAUGCUGGAAUUUGAAGGCAGAAGCAUGGGAGCAUUGGAGAACGAGGCUUUGAGAAGGCCAGGUCGAUGAUUCCCUGUAGCAAAUACGGUUCACAUCACGAUGAAGAAAUGGUACUGUUACAGUCACAAACAUGAGAAAACCAUAUGGAAAAUGCAAAAUAGAAUGAAUAUCGAUGUUUCUUGCCACUUUAUUCACAGGUGGGCUUAAAGCGUGACACAAGAAUAAAAAAAUGGAGCACACAUAGCACUACCUAAGUGCAUAAGCAUGGACACGAGGGUUUCCAAAUAUAUAGCAAAUUAAAGAAAAUUAUUUUUUAAGGUAUCUAUAAGUGUAAAUGCAGCACAAAUGCAACAAUCACAAAUCAAUACAUUCAUUACAUAACAUAGCUGAAUUGAAGAUGUUUCAAAGAAUGAAUGCUACAAUAGAAAUAACAAAAAAAAACAGCAAUCUUAAGCUAUAUUUGUUUCCUAGAAAAUUUUAGGGAAAAUGAGGAAAUAAAAUAGAGAGGAAAAGCAGAAAGAACAGAAAAAAAUUAAAGUCAAUAAAUUAUUUUUAUUCCUUCAAACUCAUUUUACUUAUUUUAAUUCUUCUAUAUAAAGAUUAAAUAAUUUAAAAAUAUACAAGUUUAUAACUAAUUUUAAUUAUAUUUGAUUUUCUUGCAUAUUUUUCAUGGUAAAACCAAACAUGAGAAAAUUAUUUUUCUUUCCUAAGUACUUUCCUAGAACCAAACAUAGUAAUAAAAAAUUAUGAUAUGUGAGAGAGUUAGGACUGCCACUGCUUGAAAACCAGUUUAGACUUCACAAAGAUGGCCUGGUAAAGUUGCUGCAAAGAUGAAGAAGUACACCAGUAAGGAGUAAUUUGGUGUGAAUUGAAGACACAAAGCCAAGAGGGGAAGCCCAAAAAGAACAAUAGCCCAAGUUAUAAGAAACUUUCACCCAAAAAGAUAAGCUACCAGAAGAGAAUGGAGGAAAAGGCAUGGCCCUAGACAUUAAAGUGAAGGAAAAGAAAUUGUGGUGCUGACCCCAAGCACUGAGACAAGACAUUGUUGAAUUGAGUUGUUUGGUGCCCCACUCACUGGAAAAAUAGACAUCAGUUUGCCUUGGAUCUUGCUCAAUUCUAUGUAACAAGAAGCAAACUUAAAUUUUCUCACCUCUACUAGAAAGGGGUGAUAAAAAAUUAUCCAGAGGAUAUUGAAUCUAGAUAAGGUUUAGACCAUGACAAUAUAAAUAUAGUUGCCAAAUGAGCCAUUUGAUGCCAUGAUUUCUCAGGAAAGAAGCUAGCUCAAUCAAGUUGUCUUAAUAGUUGCAGAAAUAAUCAUGGCAGAUUGCUCCCUAAGGGACCCAUUAGUGGAGAAAUUUGCUGCAUUAAAGAUGAGCAUAUCUUAUUUGGUCAUUAAGGAGUAGCUAUAUAUUCUCAGAGAAAAUACUGAUUUUAAAUCAGGCCAUGGACUUCAAUCAAGUGAUAUUAGCAUAAACAAAUAGCAGAGCAUUUUCAAAAUUUACCUGAAGACGGUUGAGUACAUAAGUAUAUUUUCCCCAUAGCUCUGGUCGGCUUUCCAUAAAGGACAGAUCAAGAAUUCGAUGAAUGCACCACACCCCAAAGCUUAUUACCAAAUCCACUCUCCAUACACAGCCCUCUCCACAAUGAGGAACCGAGGAAACAAGCAGUAGUGCAGAACCAGAUUUCCUAUCAGAAGAAGAGUACUGAGCCUCCCCCAUGUUAACCCCCC
RNAcentral lists this long non-coding RNA (1752 nucleotides) under Vitis vinifera (wine grape). RNAcentral describes it as "long non-coding RNA (VVIN_LNC002533)". The record is from RNAcentral. Lineage: Eukaryota; Viridiplantae; Streptophyta; Magnoliopsida; Vitales; Vitaceae.